This 479-nucleotide long non-coding RNA is filed under the name Ovis aries (sheep). RNAcentral describes it as "lncRNA (ENSOARG00000026974.1)". Lineage: Eukaryota; Metazoa; Chordata; Mammalia; Artiodactyla; Bovidae. The record is from RNAcentral.
GGAGUGAAUAUGAAAGUUGAAUAAGGAAGCUAUUAUAAAUCAAAUAAAUGAUCUAGGGUUGAGCAAAUUCAUGCUGAAAAGAAGUGAGGGGAAUCUUCUAAAAAUGGAACAUUUGAAGAUAGAAGAGUAGAGGUGGCAGAUUUUUCACCUAAAAAUGUGAGAUCUAGUAAGGAAAUUAAAUCUGGUAAACAUGUAAGUGUAAUACUUUUUGAAAGGCACAUUCAAAUGUUAAGAUGCAAGAUGAUUUGUGUUUGUGUGUAUGUGAUCAGGGUAAGUGGUUGGAAAAGUUAUCAUUUGAAUUAGUUCUUGAAUGACAUAUAUAAUUUAAGCUUGCAAGAUUAAGAAAAUAGUGUUUCAGAUAAUGGUGUAAAUGUUUUGGUAGUACAGGAAGAAAUGCAAUAUGGAUAGAAAAUGCUUGAAGCAUUAUAUGUAAGAGAACUGGUGUGUGACCAUACAGGAGAAAGACUGAAAGGCUGAAC